GCAUAGGUAGCUUAAAUGUUAAAGCAUUAGUCUUGUAAACUAAUUUCAAGGGUUAAAACCCCUUCCAGUGCU
This 72-nucleotide transfer RNA is filed under the name Fundulopanchax gardneri (blue lyretail). Its description in RNAcentral is "tRNA-Thr". It matches the Rfam family "tRNA". From Rfam's summary of the family: Transfer RNA (tRNA) molecules are approximately 80 nucleotides in length. The record is from RNAcentral. Lineage: Eukaryota; Metazoa; Chordata; Actinopteri; Cyprinodontiformes; Nothobranchiidae.